Molecule: ribosomal RNA, 370 nt
Filed under: Methylobacterium radiotolerans
Lineage: Bacteria; Pseudomonadati; Pseudomonadota; Alphaproteobacteria; Hyphomicrobiales; Methylobacteriaceae
Description: bacterial SSU rRNA
Rfam family: Bacterial small subunit ribosomal RNA
Source: RNAcentral
GGCAGCAGUGGGGAAUAUUGGACAAUGGGCGCAAGCCUGAUCCAGCCAUGCCGCGUGAGUGAUGAAGGCCUUAGGGUUGUAAAGCUCUUUUAUCCGGGACGAUAAUGACGGUACCGGAGGAAUAAGCCCCGGCUAACUUCGUGCCAGCAGCCGCGGUAAUACGAAGGGGGCUAGCGUUGCUCGGAAUCACUGGGCGUAAAGGGCGCGUAGGCGGCGUUUUAAGUCGGGGGUGAAAGCCUGUGGCUCAACCACAGAAUGGCCUUCGAUACUGGGACGCUUGAGUAUGGUAGAGGUUGGUGGAACUGCGAGUGUAGAGGUGAAAUUCGUAGAUAUUCGCAAGAACACCGGUGGCGAAGGCGGCCAACUGGAC